CCUCCAGGAUAAUUGAUCUUCAUACAACAGUAUAAGCAUUGGUCAACAUUUUUCUAAGCAGGAGUGUGUAUACUUAGUACUAUCCUAACCGGCAAAAACUGGUUUCAACAACGUCAUUCUUUUGUAUUUUAUAACAUCAUGAUAAGAACAAAAAGUCAGCAGAAAUGCCCACAGUCUUCAAGCUAGCCAGACCGCCCAGCCAGCCCGAGCCACCUACAUGCCCGACCCCCACCAGUCUAGUCAAUAACUCAACUCUCUCCCCAACACAACUUCCUUCUCAUCUUUUUUUUAAUGUCUCCAAGAGAAAGGUUUGGAAAACAAAAGUUUAAUGAAAACA
Non-coding RNA from Salmo salar (Atlantic salmon), 337 nucleotides. The record is from RefSeq and is a predicted model, not a curated record. NCBI's taxonomy places the organism in Eukaryota, Metazoa, Chordata, Actinopteri, Salmoniformes, Salmonidae.